GCCCUCUCAGGGUCGCACCUGGAGAGUUUCCAGUACUCCACCAGUCUCGACUACGGGAGGGAGAAUCGAGCAGAGGUCUACCUAUUCCAAUCCUAGCUUGGGCAGUGGCUAGUGAGUGGAAGGCAAUCUGCUACAAGU
RNAcentral lists this small nucleolar RNA (138 nucleotides) under Ornithorhynchus anatinus (platypus). The record is from RNAcentral. Lineage: Eukaryota; Metazoa; Chordata; Mammalia; Monotremata; Ornithorhynchidae.